ACUCAAAUGAAUAGACGGGGGCCCGCACAAGCGGUGGAGCAUGUUGUUUAAUACGUCACUAACCGUAGAACCUUACCAGGGCUUGACAUCUGUGGACAUCCCAUGAAAGUGGGCUUUCUCCGCAAGGAGACCACAAGACAGGUGUUGCAUGGCUGUCGUCAGCUCGUGUCGUGAGAUGUUGGGUUAAGUCCCGCAACGAGCGCAACCCUCACCCCAUGUUGCCAGCGGAUCAUGCCGGGAACUCUUGGGGAACUGCCUGGGUAACCGGGAGGAAGGCGGGGAUGAUGUCAAGUCAGCAUGGCCCUUACGCCCUGGGCUACAAACAUGCUACAAUGGACGGUAGACAAAGGGAUCCGAUAUCGCGAGAUGGAGGCAAUCUCAAAAAUCCGUCCCCAGUUCAGAUCGCAGGCUGCAACUCGCCUGCGUGAAGUCGGAAUCGCUAGUAACCGCAGAUCAGCUAAGCUGCGGUGAAUACGUUCCCGGGCCUUGUACACACCGCCCGU
RNAcentral lists this ribosomal RNA (503 nucleotides) under uncultured bacterium. RNAcentral's name for it is "partial 16S ribosomal RNA". It matches the Rfam family "Bacterial small subunit ribosomal RNA", at positions 899 to 1397 of the family's 1533-position model. The record is from RNAcentral.